This 1038-nucleotide long non-coding RNA is filed under the name Equus caballus (horse). Its description in RNAcentral is "lncRNA (ENSECAG00000035788.3)". Lineage: Eukaryota; Metazoa; Chordata; Mammalia; Perissodactyla; Equidae. The record is from RNAcentral.
GGACCAAUACCUACAAGGUCCUCUUGAGAGGAAGGCAGCAGUAAUUGACCCUGUAACUAACUGAAUGCAUCUGGACUGUUGAAGAUGGAGAAAAUCAUCUCCAUGAGCAGAGCUAAAAAGAAACCUGGGAAUCCUUGAGAGCUGGAUGAAACCAUCACAAAAAAUGAAAAAGAAUCAUAAAUGAAUGAAGUCUUUGGAGAGAAAACUGCAAACUGACUCAAAGGAAAACCUUCCCUAGGAAGUUUAAAAGAUAAUCUGUCAUACCAUGAAUUCAUGGACUAUUCCUGACCACAGAUUUAGGAUGCUCUCUGAAUAUCCUUUACCGGAAGCUGGAAACUGCAUCGAAAGAAUGUUCUAUCAUAUGCAAGAACUUCAUUAACAAGAGCCUAAAACAGAAAACCAUUCGAAGCUGAAGAGUUACCUGAGAGAGAAUCUGGAGAGUAAACUACCACCACUUGCUUUGCCUCUGGCAACAACUAUAUAUUUCUCCUAAUGAUAAAUUACCAGCAGUUUGCAAAUAAGGAAGCUGAAGAUCUGAGACAUAAUUCGCUUGCCCUGAAUCCAGUAGUGGAUGAACAGGAGAGCUGAGAUAGAAGCCCAGGUCUUCUGCCUUUCAGCUCACUACCUGUGUACUGCUUAAUAACUGGCUCCUAGUCCACCUGUUGUGAUUGCUCAGGUUGAACUUCGAACCUGCCAUACAAGAACUCUGUGUGUCAUGCUGAGACCACAUUCCCUCAACUUCUCUCUUCUGUCUGCGCCUUUGAAAAUAUUCAUAGUUGCUAUUAAGUUGUUCAUUAUUAAAUCAGUCAGUCACAAAGGAUUUCUGGUGUUUCUGUUACAUGCUGGGAACUGCUGUUGGUGCUUGAGAUGUUGUGAGAACAAAAUAUUAAUUUAUACUGAGAGAAGGGUUAGACUUAUCUUUAAACAGACCCCUCACUUCUGUAUUUAUAGGUUUUUUCUCCCAAGUAACAGAAAUCCAAUUUCAAAAUAAAUUUAAGGCAAACGGAUUGAUUUGUGUAACUGAAAGCUCUAUGAGUA